RNAcentral lists this small RNA (433 nucleotides) under Pan troglodytes (chimpanzee). RNAcentral describes it as "processed transcript". Lineage: Eukaryota; Metazoa; Chordata; Mammalia; Primates; Hominidae. The record is from RNAcentral.
GGGAGGAGUAGAAGGAAAGAAAGGGCAAAGCUGCCUUUAGAUCCCAUCUCAUGCUGUAGUCAUUAUUAGAGUCUUCUCUAGGUCUGGCUAAUCUCACUUAUACUUCCCUCAGAACCAGAGAAAUCUUCCUAAAACAAGACUGUGAUCAUUUAACUCCCUGUUCAAGUGUUUGAUGUUCAAUGAAUCAAGCAUCAAAUAAUUGCAGGCUUAUGCUAAGAGUUAUAGAGUACCAGUCUGCAGAGACGAGAAGAACUCCAGGAAACAGCCAGAGAACAAAAAGGAAGAACAUCCUGUAAAAGUGCUAGGAAGUGGGAGACAAAAAUAGGAAGGAGAUUCGCUUGCUUUGCACAGAGGCUGAGCCACAGGAGAAAGCAAAGCCAAUGUGAUUUAUUGAAUGAAAGCACUGGACAAUUACCAACAACUUGUUCCUCUG